UAUAUACUUGAUUAUCCAUGGCUGUUCUCACACCAAAACACAUCCAUUUUCUAGUUUCUCAACUGAACUAAUAGUUUUUUCCUUCUCUCUCUUGAAUUUCCAUCAUUCCUCCAAAGUCUUUUACUUCUUUUGAUAAGAAAAACUUGCAUGUUUCACUUGCCAACGAAUGAGAUACUAUGAACUUUUACUCGUUUUUUCUCCUAAACCUUUUACUAUCCCAUCUCUUUCCUCAUCACUCGAGUUUGGCCAUGGCAAAACUUCAAGAUGUUGAGGACGAACAAGUUGGAGAAACUUUGAUGAAUCUUCAAGGCAUGUACGUGGAAGAUCAUUAUCAUGUUCAAAGGAAAUUGCUACAUGAAGUACAUUCAGGGACAAAUCCUAUCGGUAAUUUGCUACCACCCAAAUUACAAAGAAUUCCUUAGGAACUCUCUUUUUAGCUCUUAAUCUUCCUCCUCACCAUCAUCAUCUUUCUAUACCAUGUCAAACUGUGAUUACAGGAGAUAAUAAUCAGUUUUAUUAAUUAAAUGUUCAGACGCAAAUAUAUAUAUAUAUAUAUAUAUUGAUAUUUCUAUUAAUAAUAAAAUUAUCAAAAUUAAUCAA
Molecule: long non-coding RNA, 600 nt
Organism: Ziziphus jujuba (common jujube)
Lineage: Eukaryota; Viridiplantae; Streptophyta; Magnoliopsida; Rosales; Rhamnaceae
Exons: 3
Source: RefSeq, a predicted model, not a curated record